This 1371-nucleotide ribosomal RNA is filed under the name uncultured bacterium. RNAcentral describes it as "bacterial SSU rRNA". It matches the Rfam family "Bacterial small subunit ribosomal RNA". The record is from RNAcentral.
AGAGUUUGAUCCUGGCUCAGAACGAACGCUGGCGGCGUGGAUAAGACAUGCAAGUCGAACGAGAGAAUUGCUAGCUUGCUAAUAAUUCUCUAGUGGCGCACGGGUGAGUAACACGUGAGUAACCUGCCCCCGAGAGCGGGAUAGCCCUGGGAAACUGGGAUUAAUACCGCAUAGUAUCGAAAGAUUAAAGCAGCAAUGCGCUUGGGGAUGGGCUCGCGGCCUAUUAGUUAGUUGGUGAGGUAACGGCUCACCAAGGCGAUGACGGGUAGCCGGUCUGAGAGGAUGUCCGGCCACACUGGAACUGAGACACGGUCCAGACACCUACGGGUGGCAGCAGUCGAGAAUCAUUCACAAUGGGGGAAACCCUGAUGGUGCGACGCCGCGUGGGGGAAUGAAGGUCUUCGGAUUGUAAACCCCUGUCAUGUGGGAGCAAAUUAAAAAGAUAGUACCACAAGAGGAAGAGACGGCUAACUCUGUGCCAGCAGCCGCGGUAAUACAGAGGUCUCAAGCGUUGUUCGGAAUCACUGGGCGUAAAGCGUGCGUAGGCUGUUUCGUAAGUCGUGUGUGAAAGGCGCGGGCUCAACCCGCGGACGGCACAUGAUACUGCGAGACUAGAGUAAUGGAGGGGGAACCGGAAUUCUCGGUGUAGCAGUGAAAUGCGUAGAUAUCGAGAGGAACACUCGUGGCGAAGGCGGGUUCCUGGACAUUAACUGACGCUGAGGCACGAAGGCCAGGGGAGCGAAAGGGAUUAGAUACCCCUGUAGUCCUGGCAGUAAACGGUGCACGCUUGGUGUGCGGGGAAUCGACCCCCUGCGUGCCGGAGCUAACGCGUUAAGCGUGCCGCCUGGGGAGUACGGUCGCAAGAUUAAAACUCAAAGAAAUUGACGGGGACCCGCACAAGCGGUGGAGUAUGUGGCUUAAUUCGAUGCAACGCGAAGAACCUUACCUGGGCUUGACAUGUAAUGAACAACAUGUGAAAGCAUGCGACUCUUCGGAGGCGUUACACAGGUGCUGCAUGGCCGUCGUCAGCUCGUGUCGUGAGAUGUUUGGUUAAGUCCAGCAACGAGCGCAACCCCUGUUGCCAGUUACCAGCACGUGAAGGUGGGGACUCUGGCGAGACUGCCCAGAUCAACUGGGAGGAAGGUGGGGACGACGUCAGGUCAGUAUGGCCCUUAUGCCCAGGGCUGCACACGUACUACAAUGCCCAGUACAGAGGGGGCCGAAGCCGCGAGGCGGAGGAAAUCCUAAAAACUGGGCCCAGUUCGGACUGUAGGCUGCAACCCGCCUACACGAAGCCGGAAUCGCUAGUAAUGGAGCAUCAGCUACGGCGCCGUGAAUACGUUCCCGGGUCUUGCACUCACCGCCCGUCAC